CAUCUUCUUUUUCAAGAAAAUCAAAUAUUUAAUUUAUCUAUUACAUUUUUAUCUUAUUUAUUGCUGAUUAGCAUCAUUCAAUGAAAAUUUUCAUGCAACACGGUCUGUGGUGUUUUUCUAGCAAUCUAGGGUGAAAUGGACAGUGUUUUCCAUUUUAACUGUUCUUUCAAUAUUGGCCUUUGAUACUACAUGAAGAGAUACACUCUAGUGACUGAUUAGUAGCAACUUGUGUUUAUAUUUCACAGUGGUAGCACCGUGUGUUUAUAUGUCAAAAAGUUUUUUACAUACUGAGGUAGUCUGAGAUUUUUAUGGAAAUUCCUCCAAUACAGAAAAUGAUGUGCAAACCAUAAUGUCAAUUGGUCAUGUGCAAUCACUUAACUUGGACAGUGCUAUUUUACAAGGAGGAUGGACUCAAGGGCAUACUGGGAAGAGGAGGGAAUGAUCUAGAAAAAAUCCCAUUUUGUAGGUUGCUUGUUCACUCUGAUGGUAGUUUCUUUUGCUGUGCAGAAGCUCUUUAGUUUAAUUAGAUCCCAUUUGUCAAUUUUGUCUUUUGUUGCCAUUGCUUUUGGUGUUUUGGACAUGAAGUACUUGCCCAUGCCUAUGUCCUGAAUGGUAAUGCCUAGGUUUUCUUCUAGGGUUUUUAUGGUUUUAGGUCUAAUGU
Molecule: long non-coding RNA, 661 nt
Filed under: Homo sapiens (human)
Lineage: Eukaryota; Metazoa; Chordata; Mammalia; Primates; Hominidae
Description: non-protein coding lnc-GPR63-10:1
Source: RNAcentral